GAUGAACGCUGGCGGCGUGCCUAAUACAUGCAAGUCGAGCGAACAGACGAGGAGCUUGCUCCUCUGACGUUAGCGGCGGACGGGUGAGUAACACGUGGAUAACCUACCUAUAAGACUGGGAUAACUUCGGGAAACCGGAGCUAAUACCGGAUAACAUGUUGAACCGCAUGGUUCAACAGUGAAAGACGGUCUUGCUGUCACUUAUCGAUGGAUCCGCGCCGCAUUAGCUAGUUGGUAAGGUAACGGCUUACCAAGGCAACGAUGCGUAGCCGACCUGAGAGGGUGAUCGGCCACACUGGAACUGAGACACGGUCCAGACUCCUACGGGAGGCAGCAGUAGGGAAUCUUCCGCAAUGGGCGAAAGCCUGACGGAGCAACGCCGCGUGAGUGAAGAAGGUCUUCGGAUCGUAAAACUCUGUUAUUAGGGAAGAACAAAUGUGUAAGUAACUAUGCACGUCUUGACGGUACCUAAUCAGAAAGCCACGGCUAACUACGUG
RNAcentral lists this ribosomal RNA (497 nucleotides) under uncultured bacterium. RNAcentral's name for it is "partial 16S ribosomal RNA". It matches the Rfam family "Bacterial small subunit ribosomal RNA", at positions 28 to 507 of the family's 1533-position model. The record is from RNAcentral.